UAAGGAAUAUUGGACAAUGGGCGCAAGCCUGAUCCAGCCAUGCCGCGUGCAGGAUGACGGCCCUAUGGGUUGUAAACUGCUUUUAUACGGGAAAAAACCCCUCUACGUGUAGAGGGCUGAUGGUACCGUAAGAAUAAGGAUCGGCUAACUCCGUGCCAGCAGCCGCGGUAAUACGGAGGAUCCGAGCGUUAUCCGGAUUUAUUGGGUUUAAAGGGUGCGUAGGCGGAUUUGUAAGUCAGUGGUGAAAUCC
This 250-nucleotide ribosomal RNA is filed under the name uncultured bacterium. RNAcentral's name for it is "partial 16S ribosomal RNA". It matches the Rfam family "Bacterial small subunit ribosomal RNA", at positions 355 to 602 of the family's 1533-position model. The record is from RNAcentral.